RNAcentral lists this ribosomal RNA (158 nucleotides) under Cytospora pruinosa. Its description in RNAcentral is "5.8S ribosomal RNA". It matches the Rfam family "5.8S ribosomal RNA". Rfam says of the family: 5.8S ribosomal RNA (5.8S rRNA) is a component of the large subunit of the eukaryotic ribosome. It is transcribed by RNA polymerase I as part of the 45S precursor that also contains 18S and 28S rRNA. The record is from RNAcentral. Lineage: Eukaryota; Fungi; Ascomycota; Sordariomycetes; Diaporthales; Cytosporaceae.
AAAUAAGUUAAAACUUUCAACAACGGAUCUCUUGGUUCUGGCAUCGAUGAAGAACGCAGCGAAAUGCGAUAAGUAAUGUGAAUUGCAGAAUUCAGUGAAUCAUCGAAUCUUUGAACGCACAUUGCGCCCUCUGGUAUUCCAGAGGGCAUGCCUGUUCG